Molecule: RNA transcript, 1735 nt
Organism: Oxyura jamaicensis (ruddy duck)
Lineage: Eukaryota; Metazoa; Chordata; Aves; Anseriformes; Anatidae
Gene: MYF6
Gene name: myogenic factor 6
Exons: 4
Source: RefSeq, a predicted model, not a curated record
AAAGUUGGAUAGGGUUUCAGCAGCUCCUAUAUAUAAAGCAGGGGGGGACUUAUGUCACUGCACUAAUUAAAUUCCAUCUGGGUUGUUCCUAGGGGUGUUUUCGAGCCUGCCACCCAACUUGAGCAGGCAGAGGGGCCGAGGGACAGCAUGAUGAUGGACCUUUUCGAAACUGGCUCCUAUUUCUUCUACUUGGACGGGGAGAAUGGAGCCCUGCAGCAGCUGGAGAUGGCGGAAGGUUCCCCACUGUACCCAGGCAGCGACGGCACCUUGUCCCCCUGUCAGGACCAAAUGCCGCCGGAGGCCGGCAGCGACAGCAGUGGCGAGGAGCAUGUGCUGGCCCCCCCGGGCCUGCAGCCCCCUCACUGCCCCGGCCAGUGUUUGAUCUGGGCUUGUAAAACCUGCAAGAGAAAGUCAGCCCCCACGGACAGGAGGAAAGCGGCCACCCUGCGGGAGAGGAGGCGGCUGAAGAAGAUCAACGAAGCCUUCGAGGCGCUGAAAAGGCGGACUGUGGCCAACCCCAACCAGCGGCUGCCCAAGGUGGAGAUCCUGAGGAGCGCCAUCAGCUACAUCGAGAGGCUGCAGGACCUCCUGCACAGGCUGGAUCAGCAGGAGAAAAUGCAGGAGGUCGGGGGGGACGCCUUCAGCUUCAGCCCUAAGCAGGCAAAUGGCUCGGACUUCCUCGGCACCUGCGGCUCCGACUGGAGAAACCUCUCCGACCAUUCCCGGGCGCUGGGAGCCAGCCCCAGAGCAGGAGGCUCCGCCGUCGAGUCGUCGGCUUCCAGCAGCCUGCGCUGCCUCUCCUCCAUAGUGGACAGUAUUUCCUCCGACGAGCCCAAGCUGCCCGGCGUGGAGGAAGCGGUGGAGAAAUGAGGCAGGGCCCGCGGGGCUCGGGCCGAGGUACCGCCGCCCGCCCAGCCUGACGGAGCGGACCCCGGCGACCCGAGCCCGAAGGACUCCUCCUGACCCCCACCCACCCCCUUUUCACCCCGAGUUUUGUUUUCUUUACGCCUCGUCGCAUAGACCAGCCCCCCGCCCCCCAGUUUUUCCGUUUUUAAUUUAAGAGACUUACUGGCGUGCCGGUGAUCCGCUUUGCCCGAGGCUCACCGAAACGUCCAUUCCUGUCUGAGUGGAGCUGCCGGCUGCCUUCCGUGAUAGUGGCGUUCAGAGAGGUCCCGCCUCGUUGCGUUUCUUGUCUCUCCUCCCGGUCAUUCACUACUAACCCGAGCCUGGAGCCCGAGCCCGCCGUGCCCUCAGCCGGACGACCCCACAGAGCUCGAGCUGCGACACCGGGAGUCAGCUGCGGGGACACAUUUCCCUUCGCUCCCUCCUUUAAGGACCAUGUCUCCUCGCCCAGGACCGCCCCGGCGGUGCUAAUUACCCCCUCCUCCCCUGCCGUCUCCCCGGGGAAGCAGGGUCGGGCGCUGGGAGCCGGGGGGAAGGAGCCCCCCAGCCGCGCCGUGUGCCCCUAAACGGGCGAGGAGAGGGCACCGCUGGCUGAGAAAUUGGGGGCUUCCUCUCGCCUCGUCUGCAGCACGCUUUAUGGGCCCCGAGGGGCAGCGCCAGCUGUGACGUGAUCCGGCUUCCCCCCGGGGCCGGAGGGCCGUGAUUUCUCCCGAGGAAAGGCGACUCCCUUUGGCUUCCCUGCUCCUUGAGGGAGAGGGGUCCUUCGGGGAGGAAGGAGUUAAGCGGCGAGAGGAGGGGGGCAACAGCAGACGAAGCCUUUCACUCAGUGAUG